RNAcentral lists this unclassified non-coding RNA (271 nucleotides) under soil metagenome. RNAcentral describes it as "partial contains small subunit ribosomal RNA, internal transcribed spacer 1, and 5.8S ribosomal RNA". The record is from RNAcentral.
UUUCCGUAGGUGAACCUGCGGAAGGAUCAUUACCGAGUUAGGGUUUCCCCUCCAGGAGCCCGACCUCCCAACCCUUUGUCUAAAUUACCUCUGUUGCUUCGGCGGACCGGUUGACCAACCGGUCUCGACCGCCGGGGGGGCUUCACCCCCUGGAGAGCGUCCGCCGACGGCCCAACCACAAAACUCUUGUACCAAACCACGUCGUCUGAAUGUACUUGAUUAAGAAUCAAAAAAAAAACUAAAACUUUCAACAACGGAUCUCUUGGUUCUG